Molecule: unclassified non-coding RNA, 253 nt
Filed under: uncultured Bacteroidota bacterium
Lineage: Bacteria; Pseudomonadati; Bacteroidota
Description: uncultured Bacteroidetes bacterium contains 16S-23S intergenic spacer region
Rfam family: Bacterial small subunit ribosomal RNA
Source: RNAcentral
UACGGAGGGUGCAAGCGUUGUCCGGAAUCACUGGGUGUAAAGGGUGUGUAGGUGGGGCUGUAAGUCAGAGGUGAAAGCCCACAGCUUAACUGUGGAAUUGCCUUUGAUACUGCAGCUCUUGAGUCCUGGAGGGGCCAUUGGAAUUCGUGGUGUAGCGGUGAAAUGCGUAGAUAUCACGAGGAACACCAGAGGCGUAAGCGGAUGGCUGGACAGGUACUGACACUGAGGCACGAAAGCGUGGGGAGCAAACAGG